This is an RNA transcript of Solanum dulcamara, 2094 nucleotides long. RefSeq lists it as uncharacterized. Lineage: Eukaryota; Viridiplantae; Streptophyta; Magnoliopsida; Solanales; Solanaceae. The record is from RefSeq and is a predicted model, not a curated record. The transcript is spliced from 13 exons.
UUUUUUCUUCUCAAAGUUCCCUCCGUCCAAUUCUAUCUUCAUUUCUUCAUAUCAACAAAAAAUUUUUUAUCAAAAUUCUCCUUCUGCUUCUUCUUCUUCGCCGAUUCGCUCAAUCGUCGCCUCGAUAAAGGAAGUCGACGAUUGAUCGAAGAUUUUUCUAUUAUGGCGAAGAACAGAGAGGAGGAAGAACAACAACAACAUAGAGCCGCGGUGGUGGCGUUGACGGAGGAGGAAGAGGAAGAAUUGGAGGAGAAAUUAGGUUCUAGUUUAACUCUAGAACGAGUCGCUGCCGCGAAGAAAUUGAUUGAAGAUCAUUAUAAAUCGCACAUGAAACUCAUCCAGGAUCGUAAACAAAGGCGUUUACUGCUAGAAAGGAAAUUGGAAGGCUCUGCUGUACCAAAGGAGGAACAAAUGAACCUUCUAAAGGAAUUGGAGAGAAAAGAGACGGAGUAUAUCCGACUAAAGCGUCACAAGAUUUCUGUUGAUGAUUUUGAGCUUUUGACGAUCAUUGGACGAGGAGCUUUUGGAGAGGUCAGAUUGUGCCGGGAUAAAGUAUCUGGAAAUAUAUAUGCAAUGAAAAAAUUGAAGAAGUCUGAAAUGCUAAGUAGGGGGCAGGUUGAACAUGUUAGGGCCGAAAGGAAUUUGCUUGCUGAAGCAGCGAGCCACUUUAUUGUAAAACUUUUUUAUUCUUUCCAAGAUGCUGACUACUUGUAUUUAGUAAUGGAAUAUCUGCCUGGUGGUGAUAUGAUGACGUUGCUGAUGAGGGAGGACACAUUAACUGAGACAGUUGCAAGAUUUUACAUUGCUCAAAGUGUUUUGGCCAUAGAGUCUAUUCAUAAACAUAACUACAUUCACAGGGAUAUUAAACCUGACAAUCUUCUUUUGGACAAAAAUGGCCACAUGAGGCUGUCUGAUUUUGGUCUAUGCAAGCCCCUUGACUGUUCGAAUUUAUCUCCUAUAAAUGAAAAUGAAGUGAUGGAUGGUGAGCAAAAGGGAUCUGCUAACAAGGGAACUGGUUGGAAUAGCUCCCUUGAACAACUGCAGCAUUGGCAAAUAAACAGGAGAAAAUUAGCAUUUUCAACAGUGGGCACACCUGACUAUAUUGCUCCUGAGGUUUUACUGAAGAAAGGCUAUGGAGUGGAAUGUGAUUGGUGGUCACUUGGUGCCAUCAUGUAUGAGAUGCUCAUUGGUUAUCCCCCUUUCUACUCUGAAGACCCGAUAACAACAUGUAGAAAGAUUGUUCAUUGGAGAAAUCACAUAAAAUUUCCAGAGGAAGCAAGAUUGACUCCCGAAGCCAAAGACCUGAUCUGUAGGUUGCUUUGUGAUGCUGAAAAUCGUCUUGGUUGUCGAGGAGCAGAGCAAAUAAAGGCUCACCCCUGGUUCAAAGACAUAAAGUGGGAUAAACUUUAUAACAUGGAGGCAGCAUAUAAGCCAGAAGUCAAUGAUGCUCUUGACACUCAAAAUUUCAUGAAGUUUGAUGAGGCAAAUCAAGCACCAGCAAAAAAUAGUUCAGGACCCCAUAGAAAGAAGCGUCUGAUUCCCGAAGAUUUAAGUUUUGUUGGCUAUACCUACAGGAAUUUUGAGGCUGUCAAGGGAUUGAGACAUUCUUUAGGUGAUUCUGCAGUGGAUUUCUCAGGCAAGUGUUCAGUUGAUGACAAUGAAAUACUUGUCCGCGCUGCAUCAGCAGAUACUUUAACUCUGUGAUGAGCGUCCAAGUUCUGUGAUAAAACUAACUGAUCAACAUGCCAUUUUUAUGGUUUUUUCUGGAGCCAGAGGUGUCAAAUGGGCGAGCAGGAUUAGAAUGGAUGGACCAUGCCUGAACUGUUUGAUACGCCUAAAGUUUGAUUGGAUAAAAAUGGCAAGUUUUUCACGGAUUGCCUCUCUUUUGGGGUGGGACCGGUCUUUAAUUUUUGUCCUUAAAUAUGAUGGUCUUUAAUUUCGUCCCUACUGCUCAUUUAAUGAAAAUUUGUGGAUCAAAAUACCCUUGUCAAUAAUCUGAUCGCUCGGUACAAGUUUAAAAAACUUUUGUCUUGCUUGGCAUAAGUUCGGUGGGAAUUAAGUCAUGCGGGAUAAUUUGUGAAGUAUUUCAAUGAA